RNAcentral lists this ribosomal RNA (589 nucleotides) under uncultured bacterium. RNAcentral describes it as "partial 16S ribosomal RNA". It matches the Rfam family "Bacterial small subunit ribosomal RNA", at positions 355 to 1375 of the family's 1533-position model. The record is from RNAcentral.
UGGGGAAUAUUGCACAAUGGGCGCAAGCCUGAUGCAGCCAUGCCGCGUGUGUGAAGAAGGCCUUCGGGUUGUAAAGCACUUUCAGCGAGGAGGAAGGUGGUGAGCUUAAUACGCUCAUCAAUUGACGUUACUCGCAGAAGAAGCACCGGCUAACUCCGUGCCAGCAGCCGCGGUAAUACGGAGGGUGCAAGCGUUAAUCGGAAUUACUGGGCGUAAAGCGCACGCAGGCGGUUUGUUAAGUCAGAUGUGAAAUCCCCGGGCUCAACCUGGGAACUGCAUUUGAAACUGGCAAGCUAGAGUCUCGUAGAGGGGGGUAGAAUUCCAGGUGUAGCGGUGAAAUGCGUAGAGAUCUGGAGGAAUACCGGUGGCGAAGGCGGCCCCCUGGACGAAGACUGACGCUCAGGUGCGAAAGCGUGGGGCAGCAAACAGGAUUAGAUACCCUGGUAGUCCACGCUGUAAACGAUGUCGAUUUUGGAGGUUGUGCCCUUGAGGCGUGGCUUCCGGGGCUAACGCGUUAAAGUCGACCGCCUGGGGAGUACGGCCGCAAGGUUAAAACUUAAAGGAAUUGACGGGGUCAUAGCUGUUUCCU